Molecule: transfer RNA, 87 nt
Filed under: bacterium
Lineage: Bacteria
Also listed under: 3 other names
Description: tRNA-Tyr
Rfam family: tRNA
About the family: Transfer RNA (tRNA) molecules are approximately 80 nucleotides in length. Their secondary structure includes four short double-helical elements and three loops (D, anti-codon, and T loops).
Source: RNAcentral
GGAGGGAUGGCGGAGUGGUCAAUCGCAGCAGACUGUAAAUCUGCCGAGCUUAGCUCUACGUUGGUUCAAAUCCAGCUCCCUCCACCA